ACAUACGACCAUACCCACUGGAAAACUCGGGAUCCCGUCCGCUCUCCCAUAGAUAAGCCAGUGAGGGCCAGACUAGUAGUUGGGNNNN
Molecule: ribosomal RNA, 88 nt
Filed under: Neurospora tetrasperma FGSC 2509
Lineage: Eukaryota; Fungi; Ascomycota; Sordariomycetes; Sordariales; Sordariaceae
Source: RNAcentral